GUGGGGAAUCUUGCGCAAUGGGCGAAAGCCUGACGCAGCCAUGCCGCGUGAAUGAUGAAGGUCUUAGGAUUGUAAAAUUCUUUCACCGGGGACGAUAAUGACGGUACCCGGAGAAGAAGCCCCGGCUAACUUCGUGCCAGCAGCCGCGGUAAUACGAAGGGGGCUAGCGUUGCUCGGAAUUACUGGGCGUAAAGGGCGCGUAGGCGGACAGUUUAGUCAGAGGUGAAAGCCCAGGGCUCAACCUUGGAAUUGCCUUGGAUACGGGCUGUCUUGAGUACGGGAGAGGUGAGUGGAACUCCGAGUGUAGAGGUGAAAUUCGUAGAUAUUCGGAAGAACACCAGUGGCGAAGGCGACUCACUGGCCCGUUACUGACGCUGAGGCGCGAAAGCGUGGGGAGCAAACAGGAUUAGAUACCCGUGUAGUCC
Molecule: ribosomal RNA, 425 nt
Filed under: uncultured bacterium
Lineage: Bacteria
Description: partial 16S ribosomal RNA
Rfam family: Bacterial small subunit ribosomal RNA
Source: RNAcentral